Molecule: ribosomal RNA, 482 nt
Filed under: uncultured bacterium
Lineage: Bacteria
Description: partial 16S ribosomal RNA
Rfam family: Bacterial small subunit ribosomal RNA
Source: RNAcentral
AUUGAACGCUGGCGGCAUGCUUUACACAUGCAAGUCGAACGGCAGCGCGGGGCAACCUGGCGGCGAGUGGCGAACGGGUGAGUAAUAUAUCGGAACGUACCCAGAAGUUGGGGAUAACGUAGCGAAAGUUACGCUAAUACCGCAUACGAUCUACGGAUGAAAGUAGGGGACCGCAAGGCCUUAUGCUUUUGGAGCGGCCGAUAUCUGAUUAGCUAGUUGGUGAGGUAAAGGCUCACCAAGGCGACGAUCAGUAGCUGGUCUGAGAGGACGACCAGCCACACUGGAACUGAGACACGGUCCAGACUCCUACGGGAGGCAGCAGUGGGGAAUUUUGGACAAUGGGCGCAAGCCUGAUCCAGCAAUGCCGCGUGAGUGAAGAAGGCCUUCGGGUUGUAAAGCUCUUUUGUCAGGGAAGAAACGGUAGAGGCUAAUAUCCUUUGCUAAUGACGGUACCUGAAGAAUAAGCACCGGCUAACUACGUG